GGAGAGGUGUCCGAGAGGCCGAAGGAGCACGCUUGGAAAGCGUGUAUGGGCUCACACCCAUCGAGGGUUCGAAUCCCUCCCUCUCCGCCA
Molecule: transfer RNA, 90 nt
Filed under: Gammaproteobacteria bacterium
Lineage: Bacteria; Pseudomonadati; Pseudomonadota; Gammaproteobacteria
Description: tRNA-Ser
Rfam family: tRNA
About the family: Transfer RNA (tRNA) molecules are approximately 80 nucleotides in length. Their secondary structure includes four short double-helical elements and three loops (D, anti-codon, and T loops).
Source: RNAcentral